Molecule: long non-coding RNA, 370 nt
Filed under: Mytilus galloprovincialis (Mediterranean mussel)
Lineage: Eukaryota; Metazoa; Mollusca; Bivalvia; Mytilida; Mytilidae
Source: RNAcentral
GCUACCUACCCAGAAAAAAGCUGCCUACUCAAAUUCUUUUAUUGUCCUGAUUUGAAGAAGUUUUUUUUUAAUCAAAUAGGCAUGAAGACUAAUAAACAUCUGAUACUUCAAUUUCUUUUUUUGAAAAAAAAAUAAAAAAUGCCUACCUACCUACCCACUGUCUCAACCUUUGGGUAGGGUUUGGGCAAACCAAAAUAUUUUUAAGUGUGGCCCUAUUUUGACAUUUUCACCUACGUUUUUUUAUGAUAAAGACAAUAAUGUCCAUUCUGUGUUUAUUUUGUAGCCGUAUCCUUCUUCAUUAUAUAGGUAUACCAAUUCGAUUUUUAAUCCAUAUGGAAUCAUAGAAAAAUUGGUCUAGAAUGACCUCCAA